CCUGCCCAGCAGAAAGGCCCGGGAACCGUUAACGGAGCGCGCCGGGGAACGGGCCGGGCCGAAGGUUCCGCCCGCUUCCAGAAGCAGCCCGCCGGGUGGCCCCGGCCGCCUGGGGGAAAGACCCCCACCCCCGGGGCAAGACGGGCCAAGGGAAACCAAAUAAGGAGGAAUUUUCCCCGGGUUCCCAACGCGGGGAGGGCGGGGAACGUUCCGCCAAAGGUGGAACAAAAAAGACUUUCGGCAACGGAUAUUUCGGCUCUCGCAUCGAGGAAGAACGUAGCAAAAUGCGAUACUUGGUGUGAAUUGCAGAAUCCCGGGAACCAUCGAGUCUUGAACCCAAGUUGCGCCCGAAGCCUUUCGGUCGAGGGCACGUCUCCCUGGGUGUCACACAACGUCGUCCCCAAACCCGACACCCUCUCCCACGGGGGGAGUCGGGAGGGACGGAAGCUGGUCUCCCGUGGCGAUCCGCCGCGGUUGGCCGAAUUACGAGUCCGGGCGAGGAAAGCCGCAACGACCGGAGAAGGGAACAUCCUCGAUCGAUGCUCGUUGCGGCCGUUUUCGCGAGGGGACGGGCUCCAGACCCACGGCGAUUCCGGCGCCUUCGAUCGCGACCCCAGGUCAGGCGGGAUAACCCAAA
RNAcentral lists this ribosomal RNA (637 nucleotides) under Banisteriopsis harleyi. Its description in RNAcentral is "eukaryotic LSU rRNA". The stretch from base 233 to 387 matches the Rfam family "5.8S ribosomal RNA". Lineage: Eukaryota; Viridiplantae; Streptophyta; Magnoliopsida; Malpighiales; Malpighiaceae. The record is from RNAcentral.